RNAcentral lists this long non-coding RNA (445 nucleotides) under Citrus maxima (pomelo). RNAcentral's name for it is "long non-coding RNA (CMAX_LNC002579)". The record is from RNAcentral. Lineage: Eukaryota; Viridiplantae; Streptophyta; Magnoliopsida; Sapindales; Rutaceae.
GGACCAGAAAGAGAUAAAUGAAAAGAAAUUAAGUUAUCAUAAAUUCAAUUACCCCAAUUUUUUAGUGGAUACACUGAAAAUUCACCCUUGCAAAUGCGAAAGGAUACACCCACGUCAUUUUUUUUUUUUGAAAAAAAAAGAACGAACUGUUAUAGUUUAAUGUUUUGUGACCACAGGGUGAAUUUGAACAAUUUUUUGGGGCCUCACGGGUGAAGAAUCACAAUCAGUUUCACCCGAUGGAGAUUGAAUCCAUACGACUUGUCGUUGAACGGUAGAUAUUGAGUCAGUCUCCGCAGGUGGUUCACGUUUUGAUGGCGGUGGACUGUUCUUUGGACUGUUCCUUGCCACGGCGACCCCCCAACAAAGAGCCAUGACAAUCAUCGAGAUAAUAAUGAUAUUUUUUGUGACGGCCAUGGUUCAAAUAUGACGUGGGUAAUGAUAAUUA